Molecule: long non-coding RNA, 270 nt
Filed under: Pelobates cultripes (western spadefoot toad)
Lineage: Eukaryota; Metazoa; Chordata; Amphibia; Anura; Pelobatidae
Source: RNAcentral
CUUCACACACACACACUGCUCACACACUGUCCCCCUCACACACACACACACUGCACCCCUUACACAUUGCACCACUCACACACACCACUGCUCCUAUGCCCUACUACCGCCCCAUUUCCCAGCAGACCUCAGGUAAGUUGUCAAACUGUUCUUAAACGGUUUGACUACUUACUCUGGGAGGGGGUCCCGGCACUAUUGACACCAUAACCACUACACUGAGCUGUAGUAGUUAUUGUGUCUGGAUUAUUUCUUUAAAUAAUCUACAAGUGC